RNAcentral lists this long non-coding RNA (232 nucleotides) under Pan troglodytes (chimpanzee). RNAcentral describes it as "long non-coding RNA NONPTRT013394". The record is from RNAcentral. Lineage: Eukaryota; Metazoa; Chordata; Mammalia; Primates; Hominidae.
CACAUACACGUGGACAGUCACGCGCACAGCGACACUCUUGCACACACACGUGGACAGGCACAUGCACAGCGACACUCUUGCACGCGGACACACACGUGGACAGGCACACACACAGCGACGCUCUUGGAGAGCACAUACAUACAUGUGGACAGGCACACGCACAGCGACACUCUUGGAGAGCACAUACACGUGGACAGGCACACGCACAGCGACACUCUUGCACACACACGUG